RNAcentral lists this ribosomal RNA (247 nucleotides) under uncultured bacterium. RNAcentral's name for it is "partial 16S ribosomal RNA". It matches the Rfam family "Bacterial small subunit ribosomal RNA", at positions 15 to 257 of the family's 1533-position model. The record is from RNAcentral.
AAUCAUGGCUCAGGAUGAACGCUAGCGGCAGGCCUAACACAUGCAAGUCGAGGGGCAGCACGGUGUAGCAAUACACUGGUGGCGACCGGCGCACGGGUGCGUAACGCGUAUGCAACCUACCCAUAACAGGGGGAUAACACUGAGAAAUUGGUACUAAUACCCCAUAACAUCAGGACCGGCAUCGGUUCUGGUUGAAAAACUCCGGUGGUUAUGGAUGGGCAUGCGUUGUAUUAGCUGGUUGGUGAGG